UGGGCCACUUCCACCGAGGACUUGUGAAGUGUACAUUCUACUAAAGUGUCAUUGUCAUUGUGUACCUCCUCAAUUACCAGGCAAGUUAAAGAGCAUGAUGAAUACUUGCAGUACAAUGGUAUAAAUCCUUCUGAUGUCUUGCAUGAAAAACAUGCAGUAGCAUUUAGUACCUUCUUUGACAUUGAUUCCUGGGUGUAUGAGUUGCUCCUCUGAUUUUAGAUCACAUUUCUUUUCAUCAUUCAGUAUAUCCACAUUGAUAUUGACACUUUUUAUUUCAGUAAUACACACAUGACGCA
This 296-nucleotide long non-coding RNA is filed under the name Homo sapiens (human). Its description in RNAcentral is "HSALNT0304293". Lineage: Eukaryota; Metazoa; Chordata; Mammalia; Primates; Hominidae. The record is from RNAcentral.